This 546-nucleotide ribosomal RNA is filed under the name uncultured archaeon. RNAcentral's name for it is "bacterial SSU rRNA". It matches the Rfam family "Archaeal small subunit ribosomal RNA", at positions 284 to 832 of the family's 1478-position model. The record is from RNAcentral.
GGUAGCCCGGAGAUGGGUACUGAGACAAGGACCCAGGCCCUACGGGGCGCAGCAGUCGCGAAAACUCCGCAAUGCACGAAAGUGUGACGGGGCUACCCCGAGUGCCAUCCGCUGAGGAUGGCUUUUCUUUGGUAUAACUAGCCAUGGGAAUAAGGAGAGGGCAAGACUGGUGUCAGCCGCCGCGGUAAUACCAGCUCUCCGAGUGGUAGGGAUGAUUAUUGGGCUUAAAGCGUCCGUAGCCGGCUUAGCAAGUUUCCUGUUAAACUCAGCGACUCAAUCGUUGGAUCGCGGGAAAUACUACUAGGCUAGGAGGCGGGAGAGGUCAACGGUACUUCUGGGGUAGGGGUGAAAUCCUAUAAUCCCGGGAGGACCACCAGUGGCGAAGGCUGUUGACUAGAACGCGCUCGACGGUGAGGGACGAAAGCUGGGGUAGCAAACCGGAUUAGAUACCCGGGUAGUCCCAGCUGUAAACGAUGCGAGCUAGGUGUUGGGAUGGCUACGGGCCAUUUCAGUGCCGCAGGGAAGCCAUUAAGCUCGCCGCCUGGG